AACGGCCAUAUCAUGCUGAAUAUACCGGUUCUCGUUAGAUCACCGAAGUCAAGCAUCAUUGGGCGCGGUCAGUACUUGGGUGGGUGACCACCUGGGAACACCGUGUGCCGUU
Molecule: ribosomal RNA, 112 nt
Filed under: Caerostris darwini
Lineage: Eukaryota; Metazoa; Arthropoda; Arachnida; Araneae; Araneidae
Source: RNAcentral